Molecule: long non-coding RNA, 1294 nt
Organism: Toxorhynchites rutilus septentrionalis
Lineage: Eukaryota; Metazoa; Arthropoda; Insecta; Diptera; Culicidae
Exons: 3
Source: RefSeq, a predicted model, not a curated record
GGAAGACUCGUCAAUGUAUGAUUGUUCGCGGAUGCUGUUUCGAUUCCAUCCGUUGUUAUCAAUGACAUAUUUGCAAGUCCUGAUUGCUGAUUUGCUUUCGGAAUGGCGCCGGUAAGUUUUGCUGUUCUGUUUUCAUCGUUCACUUGAGCUUCACAAACACCUUUUUGAUUCACUCCGAGCGCAUCUUCAAUAUCUUCGAACGUUAGCUGCACUUGCAGUGCUAGUGAUGCAUGAGCAUCCUUUAAAUCUGCGGGAACUUCGACAAUUUCUAGUCUGUCCCGAUAAUGUGCUAAACGCGAACGAGCCUGACGCAGAAAAUCUAGAUCGUAAUGAUCGAAAGCCGAAUCUACUAGCGGUAAUAAAUCACGAACGCAUAGCUGACACUGAUUAAUAUUAACUGCUGCAUCCAUUACGUGGGAUGAGCUGUUAUGAAUUUUGUUGCUUUUCUCCUCUUCUUGCAUGAGCGUGCGCAGCCUAAUGGCUCUUGCUCUACGAGAGAGGGAACUCAAAUUUGUUACGUGGCGUAGAGCCAAUUCGUAACUGAUCUCAUCCUCUUCUAGAUGAGUACACUGGAGGAAAACAUUAGUAAAUGCAGCUACCAAAUCUUUAGUAGUUGAAACAUUGGUAAAGUGUACGCAUUUUUUGUACAUAUUACCAAAACUUUGUAAAACGGAUGUCUUAUGCAAUACACAUCCCUACUAAAGAUUCGUACAUUUCACUUCAUAGCAUGUGUAACCUUGAUUGUUUUCAUUUCUAGGAACUGUAAUGUGCGUACUUCGCAGUCGUCGUUCCUCUUGAGGAAACAAAGCUAUUCGGAGCUUCUAACCUUGGAUUAAUAUUGCACAGUUGACUGGUGGAAAAUUCAAUGUAUAUUAGACUGAGCAUGUGCAACACAAAGAAAUCUCAGGAAACGGGAGAGCAAAUAAUGCGGAUGAAAUGUACUGCGAUCUGGUCCCAUCAACUGCCAACUAAUCAGUUGUUCCUGUCCUAAAAGAUGAAAAUGUGCAACAGGAAAAGAAGCAAAACCUUGAUGAGUGAGAGUUUGAAAAAACAUAUGAGAUUGAUUCGGUCGAGGCUGCGAUUAAAUCUGUCUAUUUGCACGAGCAAUGUUUAGAUGUAGAAUGUAGGAUGUAGGAAAUUACUGUGUAAAAGAUAAUGUAUGAUUGAAGACAGCUUUAUAAAUAAGAAUUAAUUAUCAACAACAUAAUGUCAUUAUCCCUUAUCAUUAUCUCUUACAAAUAAAAAACAACGUUUUCACUGAUGUUGUUCCAAUGGUGGGCCAACAUGCCUACCA